Molecule: ribosomal RNA, 253 nt
Filed under: uncultured bacterium
Lineage: Bacteria
Description: partial 16S ribosomal RNA
Rfam family: Bacterial small subunit ribosomal RNA
Source: RNAcentral
UACGUAGGGUGCAAGCGUUGUCCGGAAUUAUUGGGCGUAAAGAGCUCGUAGGCGGUCUGUCGCGUCUGCUGUGAAAACUCGGGGCUUAACCCCGGGCCUGCAGUGGGUACGGGCAGACUAGAGUACUGCAGGGGAGACUGGAAUUCCUGGUGUAGCGGUGGAAUGCGCAGAUAUCAGGAGGAACACCGGUGGCGAAGGCGGGUCUCUGGGCAGUAACUGACGCUGAGGAGCGAAAGCGUGGGGAGCGAACAGG